RNAcentral lists this ribosomal RNA (518 nucleotides) under uncultured bacterium. RNAcentral describes it as "bacterial SSU rRNA". It matches the Rfam family "Bacterial small subunit ribosomal RNA", at positions 53 to 570 of the family's 1533-position model. The record is from RNAcentral.
ACGGGGAUGCCAUUUUUGAGGCGGUUAGUUCUUUAAAAACCAAGAUGCCGGCAUCUUAGUGGCGGACGGGUGAGUAACGCGUGGGUAACCUGCCUUAUACAGGGGUCUAAAAAUUAGAAAUAGGUGCUAAUACCGCAUAAGCGCACGGGGCUGCAUGGCCCAGUGUGAAAAACUCCGGUGGUAUAAGAUGGACCCGCGUCUGAUUAGCUUGUUGGCGGGGUAACGGCCCACCAAGGCGACGAUCAGUAGCCGGCCUGAGGGGGUGGACGGCCACAUUGGGACUGAGACACGGCCCAAACUCCUACGGGAGGCAGCAGUGGGGAAUAUUGUAUUUUGGGGGGAACCCUGAUCCAGCGACGCCGCGUGAGUGAAGAAGUAUUUCGGUAUGUAAUUCUCUAUCACCACGGAAGAAAGAAAUGACGGUACCUGACUAAAAAGCCCCGGCUAACUACGUGCCAGCAGCCGCGGUAAUACUUAGGGGGCAAGCGUUAUCCGGAUUUACUGGGUGUAAAGGGAGC